CUAAGGAUAAAGUUAUCAUCUUCAGUUUUGAGAGACUUAAGAAAGUUUUUCAUUUUUUAAGAUUCGGGCCUAUAGCUCAGCUGGUUAGAGCACACGCC
This 98-nucleotide unclassified non-coding RNA is filed under the name Iranian plum phytoplasma PJ15 II. Its description in RNAcentral is "partial 16S-23S ribosomal RNA intergenic spacer". The record is from RNAcentral. Lineage: Bacteria; Bacillati; Mycoplasmatota; Mollicutes; Acholeplasmatales; Acholeplasmataceae.